UGGGGAAUAUUGCACAAUGGGGGAAACCCUGAUGCAGCGACGCCGCGUGAGCGAAGAAGGUUUUCGAAUCGUAAAGCUCUGUCCUAUGGGAAGAUAAUGACGGUACCAUAGGAGGAAGCCCCGGCUAACUACGUGCCAGCAGCCGCGGUAAUACGUAGGGGGCAAGCGUUGUCCGGAAUCACUGGGCGUAAAGGGUUCGCAGGCGGAAAUGCAAGUCAGUUGUGAAAGGCAGAGGCUCAACCUCUGUAAGAAAUUGAAACUGUAUUUCUUGAGAUGUGGAGAGGCAAGUGGAAGUCCUAGUGGAGCGGUGAAAUGCGUAGAUAUUAGGAAGAAUACCGGUGGCGAAGGCGACUUGCUGGACACAAACUGACGCUGAGGAACGAAAGCGUGGGUAGCAAACAGG
Molecule: ribosomal RNA, 403 nt
Filed under: Fusobacteriota bacterium
Lineage: Bacteria; Fusobacteriati; Fusobacteriota
Description: Fusobacteria bacterium partial 16S ribosomal RNA
Rfam family: Bacterial small subunit ribosomal RNA
Source: RNAcentral